AGUUGGAAUAAAGAAUAGAAUUAAGAAUUUUCCCUUUACUUUCAUCGUUAGGGCAAAUUAGAGUUUCUACGGGGUUUUACGGUUUUUGGUAGUGUGAAUAAUCGAUACGGAGUGUGUACUAAAUUUGGUGAUUAAGAGUGAGUUUUAGAUAAGAAAAAAUGUGUGAUUAGAAGUAAUAAUAAUAAGUUAGUGAAUUAUAAUUGAAAAUCCUAGUACGUGUGAGUUAAGGAAAAACGGUGUGAACCGACAUGUGCCGUUUGUCACCGAGUGAGUACACCACUUGAACACUACUU
This 293-nucleotide long non-coding RNA is filed under the name Coffea arabica (coffee). RNAcentral describes it as "long non-coding RNA (CARA_LNC004724)". Lineage: Eukaryota; Viridiplantae; Streptophyta; Magnoliopsida; Gentianales; Rubiaceae. The record is from RNAcentral.